This 514-nucleotide ribosomal RNA is filed under the name uncultured Micrococcaceae bacterium. RNAcentral describes it as "bacterial SSU rRNA". It matches the Rfam family "Bacterial small subunit ribosomal RNA", at positions 1 to 524 of the family's 1533-position model. Lineage: Bacteria; Bacillati; Actinomycetota; Actinomycetes; Micrococcales; Micrococcaceae. The record is from RNAcentral.
AUAGAGUACUAGAGUUUGAUCAUGGCUCAGGAUGAACGCUGGCGGCGUGCUUAACACAUGCAAGUCGAACGAUGAUCUCCAGCUUGCUGGGGGGAUUAGUGGCGAACGGGUGAGUAACACGUGAGUAACCUGCCCUUGACUCUGGGAUAAGCCUGGGAAACUGGGUCUAAUACCGGAUAUGACCAUCUGGCGCAUGCCAUGGUGGUGGAAAGCUUUUGCGGUUUUGGAUGGACUCGCGGCCUAUCAGCUUGUUGGUGGGGUAAUGGCCUACCAAGGCGACGACGGGUAGCCGGCCUGAGAGGGUGACCGGCCACACUGGGACUGAGACACGGCCCAGACUCCUACGGGAGGCAGCAGUGGGGAAUAUUGCACAAUGGGCGAAAGCCUGAUGCAGCGACGCCGCGUGAGGGAUGACGGCCUUCGGGUUGUAAACCUCUUUCAGUAGGGAAGAAGCGAAAGUGACGGUACCUGCAGAAGAAGCGCCGGCUAACUACGUGCCAGCCGCCGCGGUAAU